RNAcentral lists this ribosomal RNA (863 nucleotides) under uncultured Algoriphagus sp. Its description in RNAcentral is "bacterial SSU rRNA". It matches the Rfam family "Bacterial small subunit ribosomal RNA", at positions 53 to 915 of the family's 1533-position model. The record is from RNAcentral. Lineage: Bacteria; Pseudomonadati; Bacteroidota; Cytophagia; Cytophagales; Cyclobacteriaceae.
ACAUGCAAGUCGAGCGGCAAGUCGAGGAGUAAUCUAAGACCUAGAGCGGCGCACGGGUGCGUAACGCGUAUGCAACCUACCUUAUACUGGGGGAUAGCCCGGAGAAAUCUGGAUUAAUACCCCAUGGCACAUAUUGAUGGCAUCUGAGAUAUGUUAAAGAUUUAUUGGUAUAAGAUGGGCAUGCGUCUGAUUAGCUAGUUGGCGGUGUAACGGACCACCAAGGCGACGAUCAGUAGGGGUUCUGAGAGGAAGGUCCCCCACACUGGCACUGAGAUACGGGCCAGACUCCUACGGGAGGCAGCAGUAGGGAAUAUUGGGCAAUGGUCGGAAGACUGACCCAGCCAUGCCGCGUGCAGGAAGACGGCCCUCUGGGUUGUAAACUGCUUUUAUCUGGGAAGAAAAAGGCCAUGCGUGGCAAAUUGCCGGUACCAGAUGAAUAAGCACCGGCUAACUCCGUGCCAGCAGCCGCGGUAAUACGGAGGGUGCAAGCGUUGUCCGGAUUUAUUGGGUUUAAAGGGUGCGUAGGCGGCUGAUUAAGUCAGCGGUGAAAGACUUCGGCUUAACCGGAGCAGUGCCGUUGAUACUGAUUAGCUUGAGUGUUGGAGGGGUACAUGGAAUUGAUGGUGUAGCGGUGAAAUGCAUAGAUACCAUCAGGAACACCGAUAGCGAAGGCAUUGUACUGGCCAACAACUGACGCUGAGGCACGAAAGUGUGGGGAUCGAACAGGAUUAGAUACCCUGGUAGUCCACACUGUAAACGAUGAUUACUCGCUGUUAUGGUGUAUACUGUAGCGGCCAAGCGAAAGCGUUAAGUAAUCCACCUGGGGAGUACGCCGGCAACGGUGAAACUCAAAUGAAUUGACG